Molecule: ribosomal RNA, 808 nt
Filed under: Zobellia galactanivorans
Lineage: Bacteria; Pseudomonadati; Bacteroidota; Flavobacteriia; Flavobacteriales; Flavobacteriaceae
Description: bacterial SSU rRNA
Rfam family: Bacterial small subunit ribosomal RNA
Source: RNAcentral
CAUGGUAGCUUGCUACCGAUGACGACCGGCGCACGGGUGCGCAACGCGUAUACAAUCUGCCCCCUACUGUGGGAUAGCCCAGAGAAAUUUGGAUUAAUACCACAUGGUACCAUAUUACGGCAUCGUAUUUAUGGUUAAAGGUUACGGUAGGGGAUGAGUAUGCGUCCCAUUAGUUAGUUGGUGAGGUAACGGCUCACCAAGACCGCGAUGGGUAGGGGCCCUGAGAGGGGGAUCCCCCACACUGGUACUGAGACACGGACCAGACUCCUACGGGAGGCAGCAGUGAGGAAUAUUGGACAAUGGGCGGGAGCCUGAUCCAGCCAUGCCGCGUGCAGGAAGAAUGCCCUAUGGGUAGUAAACUGCUUUUAUACGGGAAGAAAAAGGGCUACGUGUAGCCUACUGACGGUACCGUAAGAAUAAGGACCGGCUAACUCCGUGCCAGCAGCCGCGGUAAUACGGAGGGUCCGAGCGUUAUCCGGAAUUAUUGGGUUUAAAGGGUCCGUAGGCGGGCCGAUAAGUCAGGGGUGAAAGUUUGCAGCUCAACUGUAAAAUUGCCUUUGAUACUGUCGGUCUUGAGUUAUAGUGAAGUUGCCGGAAUAUGUAGUGUAGCGGUGAAAUGCAUAGAUAUUACAUAGAACACCGAUUGCGAAGGCAGGUGACUAACUAUAUACUGACGCUGAUGGACGAAAGCGUGGGGAGCGAACAGGAUUAGAUACCCUGGUAGUCCACGCCGUAAACGAUGGAUACUAGCUGUCCGGGUCCUUGAGACCUGGGCGGCCAAGCGAAAGUGAUAAGUAUCCCACCUGGG